GAUGAACGCUGGCGGCGUGCCUAAUACAUGCAAGUCGAGCGAACAGACGAGGAGCUUGCUCCUCUGACGUUAGCGGCGGACGGGUGAGUAACACGUGGAUAACCUACCUAUAAGACUGGGAUAACUUCGGGAAACCGGAGCUAAUACCGGAUAAUAUAUUGAACCGCAUGGUUCAAUAGUGAAAGACGGUUUUGCUGUCACUUAUAGCUGGAUCCGCGCCGCAUUAGCUAGUUGGUAAGGUAACGGCUUACCAAGGCGACGAUGCGUAGCCGACCUGAGAGAGUGAUCGGCCACACUGGAACUGAGACACGGUCCAGACUCCUACGGGAGGCAGCAGUAGGGAAUCUUCCGCAAUGGGCGAAAGCCUGACGGAGCAACGCCGCGUGAGUGAUGAAGGUCUUCGGAUCGUAAAACUCUGUUAUUAGGGAAGAACAAAUGUGUAAGUAACUAUGCACGUCUUGACGGUACCUAAUCAGAAAGCCACGGCUAACUACGUG
This 497-nucleotide ribosomal RNA is filed under the name uncultured bacterium. Its description in RNAcentral is "partial 16S ribosomal RNA". It matches the Rfam family "Bacterial small subunit ribosomal RNA", at positions 28 to 507 of the family's 1533-position model. The record is from RNAcentral.